This 420-nucleotide ribosomal RNA is filed under the name uncultured bacterium. RNAcentral's name for it is "bacterial SSU rRNA". It matches the Rfam family "Bacterial small subunit ribosomal RNA", at positions 28 to 425 of the family's 1533-position model. The record is from RNAcentral.
GACGAACGCNGGCGGCGUGCUUAACACAUGCAAGUCGAACGAAGAGCGAUGGAAGCUUGCUUCUAUCAAUCUUAGUGGCGAACGGGUGAGUAACGCGUAAUCAACCUGCCCUUCAGAGGGGGACAACAGUUGGAAACGACUGCUAAUACCGCAUACGAUCUAAUCUCGGCAUCGAGGAUAGAUGAAAGGUGGCCUCUACAUGUAAGCUAUCACUGAAGGAGGGGAUUGCGUCUGAUUAGCUAGUUGGAGGGGUAACGGCCCACCAAGGCGAUGAUCAGUAGCCGGUCUGAGAGGAUGAACGGCCACAUUGGGACUGAGACACGGCCCAGACUCCUACGGGAGGCAGCAGUGGGGAAUCUCCCGCAAUGGACGAAAGUCUGACGGAGCAACGCCGCGUGAGUGAUGACGGCCUUCGGGUUG